AAAAUAUCAGAAAGAAUAAACUUGAUUUCAAUUAUAGACUUUUAUUGUGGACAUUCCAUCUAUUGAUACCUUAAUUAUCUUAAUAUAAAUUUAUAAUGUAUUAGGAUGUGAAAUAGAAAUUUAGGAUAUUGCAUUUUGGUAUGUUCUUCAUUCUUUGUGUCAUCACUGCAUGGCUGCAUUUAUGACUGAUUCGCUGUACUAAUAUAUUUCAUCAUCAUUAUUUAUUUAUGUGGCUAAAAUUAUUAAUUGUGAUCUAUUUAAACUCUGACUUGUGUGCUAAUGAUAUUUACUACUAAGUGAGCAUAAGAAAUAAGAUUGAUAUAGUGGCUGGUAUCAUAUGAGGUGCUAACCAGUUUUGGAUGGCUUUUUUCUUCAAAAGGUAAUAGGGACACAGCACUAAAUUAAGGUGGGGAAUAGGAUGCUUUUGGUGCUGGAAUUUGAUUAGACUCUGAGGAUUAAACCAGCAGUUAUGAGAAAAAAGAUUAAAGGUACAAAUGAGUCCCUGUCACAGUCAGUUUUUAGUAAUCCAAGGAAAGGAUUGGUACAUGUUAGCCUUCAAAUUUAUUCUACCCCGACCAUUAUUUGAACAGAAAAUACUUCUGAUAUUAAAUGAGUAAUGAGAUAGGGGUGAUUGAUAUUUCUGUUUGAGAAAAUCCUUAAGGGUUCAGUUGUUGCCGGUUCAACGGAUAUGCAAAUUUGGUUUAGAAUGGUGUGACACAGUUUGGUAACUAUCUAAUGUAGUUAAUGAUGCAACCCAAAAAGAGUGGGACUCCAUGGCUUUUCGGUAUCAUCUGGAGACUGAAUUUUUUUAGCCUAACCUUGGUAAAAAUACCUAGUAUUGCUUCAAAAGAGUCAGAUUUGAAUGAAAGAUCUACUUAUUUGAGCUAAAACAGGCUUCUUCAUAAAACUCAACACGAAGCCUCUGAGCCUUUGCACUUUUGGGCAGCUUCCAUCAUUUAGGGGGUUCAAAUGAGCUUUUUUAUUGUAUUAUUGGGAACAUAGGUUUUUAUUUUAUUUGUUCUCAAAAUAUGGCCUUAGCGUUCUUUUCUGUUUGCAUAAAUAAAGUUUUCUUGGUGAUGUAAAGUCAGAAUCCCUAACUUAUGUUACAUGUGGCACCAUUAUCUACUGUAGACUCAAGAUAGGAUAAAGUGAAGAAUAUUUUUUCAGUCAAUUCUAGCAAAUUCACAAACUUUGUCAUUACAACUUUCUGCAAGUACAAGCAAGCAGUAGACCAUAAAUGUCAACUUAUGGAAUUCUAGGUUGAGGAUUUUGUUUGGGUAACAUUGACAAAAGAUCAGUUCCUGGUAGGUGAGUACAAAAGUUGGUUGAGAAGAUUGGUCCAAAAGAUGAUUGAGAACAUCGAUUCUAAUGCUUCUCACGUUGACAACAGUUUGAUGAUAAAGGUACUCCAAAUUCAAGAGCAAAUAUUAUGUACCUUGAGAAGGAUGAUCCAAUCCAACAUUUCUGUUAGGGACAUCUUAAGGCCCAAAUAUUUUUUUAGCCCUAUCGUUGAUGACAACCGUGUUUCUGGUCAAUGGAGUUGGAUUUGGUCGAAAGACUAAUUUUUCACGCAAUAACUUUGAGCGAAAACUUUCAGCCCUUGCCAUUUUUGGCAGACUCCAUUUAUAGUGUCUAAAGGACAUUUUAUAAAUUAUUCAAAAGUUAAUCCAUUUAUUUUUGUUAAUUUUUCAAAAUUCAUGCAUAGUGCUUAUUUUUGGUUUUGUAUAAUCAAGUCCAUUUAGGGCUAGCCUUUGAGAUUUAAUAAAAUUCAUGAGAUUUUCUCCUGAGCCUUUUCAAAUUUAAGUAUUUUAUGCAAAUCAAUGAAUGUUUGAUGCCCUUUUCUCUGGUGUUCUUGAUUGAAUAUGCUUAGUAUUGAAAGGUUGUCCAUUUAUGCGUUGUCUGUUCAUCCACAUACCUGGAGAACUUUUAAUGAUGGUAAAGCUGUGAAAGGAUUUUCUAGAAUUAAUUGGAUAUAUAUAUAUUUCUUCCUUUUGGUUUUCUUGUAUGUAAUUGGUAAUUAUCUUUGUAAUAUGAUAACCUUUUAUGUCCUCCAAAAUGUAGAGAGGCUGACGAGUACCGUCUACGAGAAGUUUGUGAGAGCUUUCUUGGACCUCCUAUUGGGAUGACUGAAGCUCCAUCAUCCGAUGUAAAAACAGCAGCAUGGGACCCUUAUGUUCUGGUAAGGCCUUUUUGUAUUCUUCCUUAAUUCUUGUAGGUGUUUAAACUGGUAUUUAUGUUUCUGGUGUGAUGUAAAUUCUCUCGAAAGUUUGUUGUUGGGCUGCCCAUGUCUGCAUCUUCUUGUUUGCUAUGUCCUUUUUAAUGUUUUUCUUUUAUGUGAAUUUUUAUUAUUUGAUGACAGUUUGUAACUUGUGUCUUCACAGGGAAUGAACAAGCACAAGCUCCUUCGAGAAGAUAUUCUUCCAGCUAUGGCAUCAAAUAGAGAAGUUCAAAGGUUGCUCAACGAGUUCAUGGUUGUCCUAAAUGAUUAUGAGAUAACAAAAGCAAACUUAGAACAGAAGAAUCUCGUUCAUACAACAGCAGUGGCUACUACAGAUGAAAUGGAUUCUUCCCUGCCUGCAAUCGAUAAAAGAAUUCCUGAUUCAACAUUAACCAAUCAAAUGGACUCUGCCCAACAAGCAAUAGGUCCAAGGGAUCCUACCUUGACAAAAACCAACCAAACAGACUCCAUUGUACCCAUGAAUGGUGAAAUAGAUACCAUUUUGCAAGGUACAAAUCAAGUGGAAUCCAUGCUACCGAUGCCAGAGCAAAUGAAUUUGGACCCCCCUGCCUCCGAGCAAGUAAAUUCAGCAGGGAAAGAGAAGGAUUCUUGAUCUUAGAAUCGUGUUUGGUAAUUAGUGAUCAUUGGAUAUACUAACCUGUUAGUAAUCAUUUUAUGGAGUAUGUAUUUUAAUUUUGUCCUUGGGCUUUUUGCAUGUGAUGCGUUCUUAUCUGGGGACUCGAGAGCCGAAUAGCUUCUGAUUUUGUUGAUAUGUGUCCUGUGCAAGCUAUUGAGUUCAAACUACAUUCAAAGCACAUCUGGUGUGUAUUUCACAAUUUGGAAGCUUUUGAAGACUACAUGUUUUCUUGAACUGGAUAGGAUGACUUGUACUAUAUGAAGCUAAUUUUUGCCCUUUUGAGAUAAAUGUAAAGUUUAUUGCCCAUUUUUAGUGGUUAUUCAUUUCCAAUUGGUUGUAAAUUAUUUUUCUUCAUUUCCUGCCUUCAUAUUUUCUUGGAAACUACCACCAUACCACAUGUAUGGAAUUAGUUGUUUUGCAAAUAAAGUGGAUAGGAGCGUCGAAGUGUGAAU
Molecule: long non-coding RNA, 3307 nt
Filed under: Olea europaea subsp. europaea
Lineage: Eukaryota; Viridiplantae; Streptophyta; Magnoliopsida; Lamiales; Oleaceae
Source: RNAcentral